CUGCUGGAGCUCUGAGCCAGUUCUGAGGCAGUGGUGUCCCCUUGGGUGAAGAAGCAGCAUCAUCCAGGAAACACCAACAGGGAUCAAGAGUAGCUUGAACAUCUCCCCAACCAGAGAAAUCCCAUCUAGAGGCCAGAGGUUUCUAGAUAAAUCAAGAAGUGCCGUUUGACUGGAGGAACUCGCUCUCUCUUGCCUUGGCCUCGGCAAAAUCUCAUGGGUGAAUUCCUUCAGUGGCACAUGGGAGAGCUCUGGGCAUAAACUGGGAAUAACAAUGGAGUGAUGGGAUCUUUCCUCUGCCAACAGAAACUCCAUCAAAAGUCUCCUUGUGACAAUUCCUAGUGUUUGAUGCGCUUCACUGGCUGUUUGUGCUCCUGGUCAUCAGUCUGGAGCUGCUGCCUCUCCUGUGCUCUGGUGUUGUGAGGGUCUCCAGGAUGAGGUGAGAGGUGAGAAUCUGACUCCA
Long non-coding RNA from Melozone crissalis (California towhee), 460 nucleotides. RefSeq lists it as uncharacterized. The record is from RefSeq and is a predicted model, not a curated record. The transcript has 4 exons. Lineage: Eukaryota; Metazoa; Chordata; Aves; Passeriformes; Passerellidae.